GAGGCAUUCUGGGGAGUCUAUCAGUCCUCAACCUAUUCUCAAACUGUGAAUGGGCAAGCAUCGGAGGCACACUUCUCUGCAUCC
Molecule: ribosomal RNA, 84 nt
Filed under: Eutreptiella gymnastica
Lineage: Eukaryota; Euglenozoa; Euglenophyceae; Eutreptiales; Eutreptiaceae
Description: partial Eukaryotic large subunit ribosomal RNA
Source: RNAcentral